This 723-nucleotide ribosomal RNA is filed under the name uncultured Pseudomonas sp. RNAcentral describes it as "bacterial SSU rRNA". It matches the Rfam family "Bacterial small subunit ribosomal RNA", at positions 22 to 740 of the family's 1533-position model. The record is from RNAcentral. Lineage: Bacteria; Pseudomonadati; Pseudomonadota; Gammaproteobacteria; Pseudomonadales; Pseudomonadaceae.
GCUCAGAUUGAACGCUGGCGGCAGGCCUAACACAUGCAAGUCGAGCGGAUGACGAGAGCUUGCUCUCUGAUUCAGCGGCGGACGGGUGAGUAAUGCCUAGGAAUCUGCCUGGUAGUGGGGGACAACGUCUCGAAAGGGACGCUAAUACCGCAUACGUCCUACGGGAGAAAGCAGGGGACCUUCGGGCCUUGCGCUAUCAGAUGAGCCUAGGUCGGAUUAGCUAGUUGGUGAGGUAAUGGCUCACCAAGGCGACGAUCCGUAACUGGUCUGAGAGGAUGAUCAGUCACACUGGAACUGAGACACGGUCCAGACUCCUACGGGAGGCAGCAGUGGGGAAUAUUGGACAAUGGGCGAAAGCCUGAUCCAGCCAUGCCGCGUGUGUGAAGAAGGUCUUCGGAUUGUAAAGCACUUUAAGUUGGGAGGAAGGGUUGUAGAUUAAUACUCUGCAAUUUUGACGUUACCGACAGAAUAAGCACCGGCUAACUCUGUGCCAGCAGCCGCGGUAAUACAGAGGGUGCAAGCGUUAAUCGGAAUUACUGGGCGUAAAGCGCGCGUAGGUGGUUUGUUAAGUUGGAUGUGAAAGCCCCGGGCUCAACCUGGGAACUGCAUUCAAAACUGACAAGCUAGAGUAUGGUAGAGGGUGGUGGAAUUUCCUGUGUAGCGGUGAAAUGCGUAGAUAUAGGAAGGAACACCAGUGGCGAAGGCGACCACCUGGACUGAUAC